GAUGAACGCUGGCGGCGUGCUUAACACAUGCAAGUCGAACGGUGAAGGCGGAGCUUGCUCUGCUGGAUCAGUGGCGAACGGGUGAGUAACACGUGAGCAAUAUGCCCCUGACUCUGGGAUAAGCGCUGGAAACGGCGUCUAAUACAGGAUACGAGCUGCGAAGGCAUCUUCAGCAGCUGGAAAGAACUGCGGUAAGGGAUGAGCUCGCGGCCUAUCAGCUGGUUGGUGAGGUAACGGCUCACCAAGGCGUCGACGGGUAGCCGGCCUGAGAGGGUGACCGGCCACCCUGGGACUGAGACACGGCCCAGACUCCUACGGGAGGCAGCAGUGGGGAAUAUUGCACAAUGGGCGAAAGCCUGAUGCAGCAACGCCGCGUGCGUGACGACGGCCUUCGGGUUGUAAACCUCUUUUAGCAGGGAAGAAGCGAAAGUGACGGUACCUGCAGAAAAAGCGCCGGCUAACUACGUG
This 468-nucleotide ribosomal RNA is filed under the name uncultured bacterium. Its description in RNAcentral is "partial 16S ribosomal RNA". It matches the Rfam family "Bacterial small subunit ribosomal RNA", at positions 28 to 507 of the family's 1533-position model. The record is from RNAcentral.